RNAcentral lists this ribosomal RNA (467 nucleotides) under uncultured bacterium. RNAcentral describes it as "partial 16S ribosomal RNA". It matches the Rfam family "Bacterial small subunit ribosomal RNA", at positions 28 to 507 of the family's 1533-position model. The record is from RNAcentral.
GACGAACGCUGGCGGCAUGCUUAACACAUGCAAGUCGAACGGAAAGGCCCUGCUUUUGUGGGGUGCUCGAGUGGCGAACGGGUGAGUAACACGUGAGUACCUGCCCUUGACUUUGGGAUAACUUCAGGAAACUGGGGCUAAUACCGGAUAGGAGCUCCUGCUGCAUGGUGGGGGUUGGAAAGUUUCGGCGGUUGGGGAUGGACUCGCGGCUUAUCAGCUUGUUGGUGGGGUAGUGGCUUACCAAGGCUUUGACGGGUAGCCGGCCUGAGAGGGUGACCGGCCACAUUGGGACUGAGAUACGGCCCAGACUCCUACGGGAGGCAGCAGUGGGGAAUAUUGCACAAUGGGCGGAAGCCUGAUGCAGCAACGCCGCGUGCGGGAUGACGGCCUUCGGGUUGUAAACCGCUUUCGCCUGUGACGAAGCGUGAGUGACGGUAAUGGGUAAAGAAGCACCGGCUAACUACGUG